This 423-nucleotide ribosomal RNA is filed under the name uncultured bacterium. RNAcentral describes it as "bacterial SSU rRNA". It matches the Rfam family "Bacterial small subunit ribosomal RNA", at positions 207 to 622 of the family's 1533-position model. The record is from RNAcentral.
AAGACCUUGCGCUUUUGGAGCGGCCGAUGCCUGAUUAGCUUGUUGGUAAGGUAAAAGCUUACCAAGGCUUCGAUCAGUAGCUGGUCUGAGAGGACGACCAGCCACACUGGGACUGAGACACGGCCCAGACUCCUACGGGAGGCAGCAGUGGGGAAUUUUGGACAAUGGGGGCAACCCUGAUCCAGCCAUGCCGCGUGAGUGAAGAAGGCCUUCGGGUUGUAAAGCUCUUUCAGCCGGAACGAAACGGUUACGGAUAACACCCGUGACUACUGACGGUACCGGAAGAAGAAGCACCGGCUAACUACGUGCCAGCAGCCGCGGUAGUACGUAGGGUGCGAGCGUUAAUCGGAAUUACUGGGCGUAAAGCGUGCGCAGGUGGUUUUGUAAGUCAGAUGUGAAAGCCCCGGGCUCAACCUGGGAACU